Long non-coding RNA from Taeniopygia guttata (zebra finch), 2359 nucleotides. The record is from Ensembl. Lineage: Eukaryota; Metazoa; Chordata; Aves; Passeriformes; Estrildidae.
UUUUUUUUUUUUCUUAAACCAUUUUUGACAUAGAUCAGUUUCUGAUCCACCAUUCAGCUCCUACUACAAUAAGAAUGAAACAAAUGAAGGACAAUGAAAGUAAAAGACAAAAUGUUAAGGACCUCUGUAAGGCAGCACUGCUCAACAGAUUACUGCUUCCUAGCUUAAAUUUUCAGUGACAAAACACACAGAGAAAUAUUUAAGUUGGACUAAAAAGAUUACAGGUGCAUCUGUGGAACAGGAGAAAAACAAUAACCAAAGGAAGAUGAAGAAUAAAAGUCAAUAAUGCAAACCAUAACAAAAGGCCCCUGUCAAAUCUUGUAUGCACUAUGUAUCAGAAGAAUUUCAAAAGGAAAUUUGAAGAGGUAAAAUGAGGUGGCUUGUUAAACGCUUUUGGGAACAUAAGAGGCAUCACAGGAGAAAGAAUAAAUUCCAAUUUUAAAACUGUUCGUAUAAAAUAUGUUAUAUGUUUAGUUCUGAAUUUAUUAGGACAUAUGUUCGUAUGUAAAGGCAAGGGAACCUCCAAGCAGAGAGGGCCCUGACAAUUGGACACACUCCCAUGAAUGACAAGAUAAAUUUUCUUUACAUAGGUUUUGAUUAUUAUUGGGCAAAUUAACAAAUUUUUUGUUUUGUAUCUGAAUAUUUUCUGAUAUUUUUCAAGUCAUUUAUGCACCUAAGCCACCGCCAACCAGUUCCUUCAAGCCAUUUAGUUUGAGAGAGUGAGAGAGAGUGCACAACAAUAUCUACAGUGCCCUGAAUGAAUUCUCCCCUCCUGACUUUCACCCUCAACACCCUUCUUUACUUAAACCUUGACAAAUACUACCUGGGAAAAAAGAAAAAAAAAAUCUUGUAUAUUACCACUCUAUCAGUGAAAACAAAUUCUGAUUUGAGAAUAUCUGUAUUGCCUCUACUUAGCCUGCUGGGCUCAAUCUCUAGCCCCAUGUUCACAUUCAUGGGCAGCCUACAACAGCAGCCCGAUGUUCUUAACUUGUCAAAGGUUUUGCCUAUUAAAGCAAAAAUUCAUAGUUCAAACCCCAUGAUUUUUAUUUAGUUCAUUAACACAUGCUGGUACUUAAAAAGAAUGUCCACCAGUCCUCAACCCUACAAGCAUUCCUUGUCCCAAAUAUAGAAGAUCAGUUGGUAUGGCUUUCCCAUCCAGGAGACUAAAAAUAAGCUACCAGAAGUGCCAAGCACAGUGCUUUACCACAGGAAAUGUCUCCUUUUAGGCAAGAAAUUAAGCAUAUUUAUAAUAGCCCAGCAACUUGACAAGGCAAUAACAGUUACAUGAAAUGAAAGCACAGAAAGGUAUAAAAAUUAGGAAGCAUACCAGCUCAUUUCUCCUUAAUUACAAUAAUCCUCAUGUUAAAAAUAAUCUAUGAUAGUUUCUUCCACAACUAAGCAAUGAAAAGAAAAAUCAAAUUCUGUGUACCUUGUCAAGACAAAGUUGCAGGAAAAAAGUUGGGGGGGUUGUUGCAGGGGGGGGAGAGAGGAAUUAAUAAUUUAAUGAGAGGAAUUUAACAUUUUUGGCAUAAUAUUCCAUAAUGUUUCAACACAACAUCUUCACUUCAAAGGCCAUCAAAAUGUAACAAGAAAAUGAUAACUAAUAUUACAAAACACAGAGAUGAACAAAUUCGAAUCAGUAGCACUAUGAAGUUAUUGUUUUUCUCCUACUCUUCUGCUUUGUGGAGAAAAAAAAUAGGAUUGCUUGAGGAGCUUUAAUUUGCUGCAGUGAAAUACACAAAAGAGGAUCAUUUCCAUUCUGGGAUGUGUCUGUACAGGGGAUGCAGGCCUUUACACAGAGAAAUAUAUUAGUGACCACUGUACCACCUUUCACAUUUAUGGUACUUCAAAAUCAGAUUUUCUCAAUUUUUCUGCUUCUCCUCCCCUUGUUUCAAGGUCACCUUCCUGCAACUUUAACUGAAGCUGCAGUGCUGUAAAAAUUUCUUUAUACUUAGAAAAAUUCCUACAUAGGAAUAUUUGGAAAAUACUUGUUGUGCAAGGCUAAGGACACGUAGGAAAAUUCCCAGAAACCUGGAAAAACUUCAGGAGCAGAGUGCCUCGCUCAUGAAAGUAUGUGGGAAAAUCUUUAAGCACUAUUUUGUUCUCAGGAGCAAGCCUUGCUGUAAGACUGUACUGGUUUCUAUAAAAAUAACUAAUAAUUAACAUGAGCUAGCACAUGAAAAAAAAAACCCUUUGAUAAACUGAGAGCAAGUAUUUUAUAGCUGUAGAUGACCACCACAAAAGCAGCACUCCAUCAUGAAAAGAGGAUUGUUAGGUACCUGUAAAAGCAAACUUGAAAUUCUAUAGCUCAUUAUUGCAGAAAAAAGUAUAAAAAAAAAAAAAAAAAACCAAAAAAAAA